UACGAAGGGGGCUAGCGUUGUUCGGAAUUACUGGGCGUAAAGCGCACGUAGGCGGAUUUGUUAGUCAGGGGUGAAAUCCCGGGGCUCAACCUCGGAACUGCCUUUGAUACUGCAAGUCUCGAGUCCGGAAGAGGUGGGUGGAAUUCCUAGUGUAGAGGUGAAAUUCGUAGAUAUUAGGAAGAACACCAGUGGCGAAGGCGGCCCACUGGUCCGGUUCUGACGCUGAGGUGCGAAAGAGUGGGGAGCAAACAGG
This 253-nucleotide ribosomal RNA is filed under the name uncultured bacterium. RNAcentral's name for it is "partial 16S ribosomal RNA". It matches the Rfam family "Bacterial small subunit ribosomal RNA", at positions 524 to 776 of the family's 1533-position model. The record is from RNAcentral.